GAUGAACGCUGGCGGCGUGCCUAAUACAUGCAAGUCGAGCGAACAGAUGAGGAGCUUGCUCCUCUGACGUUAGCGGCGGACGGGUGAGUAACACGUGGAUAACCUACCUAUAAGACGGGGGGAACUUCGGGAAACCGGAGCUAAUACCGGAUAAUAUAUUGAACCGCAUGGAUCAAUAGUGAAACACGGUUUGGCUGUCUCUUAGAGAUGAAUCCGCGCCGCAUUAGCUAGUUGGUAAGGUAACGGCCUACCAAGGCAACGAUGCGUAGCCGACCUGAGAGGGUGAUCGGCCACACUGGAACUGAGACACGGUCCAGACUCCUACGGGAGGCAGCAGUAGGGAAUCUUCCGCAAUGGGCGAAAGCCUGACGGAGCAACGCCGCGUGAGUGAUGAAGGUCUUCGGAUCGUAAAGCUCUGUUAUUAGGGAAGAACAAAUGUGUAAGUAACUAUGCACGUCUUGACGGUACCUAAUCAGAAAGCCCCGGCUAACUACGUG
RNAcentral lists this ribosomal RNA (497 nucleotides) under uncultured bacterium. RNAcentral describes it as "partial 16S ribosomal RNA". It matches the Rfam family "Bacterial small subunit ribosomal RNA", at positions 28 to 507 of the family's 1533-position model. The record is from RNAcentral.